RNAcentral lists this non-coding RNA (247 nucleotides) under Desulfosporosinus youngiae. RNAcentral's name for it is "T-box sequence". It matches the Rfam family "T-box leader". Rfam says of the family: Uncharged tRNA acts as the effector for transcription antitermination of genes in the T-box leader family. Lineage: Bacteria; Bacillati; Bacillota; Clostridia; Eubacteriales; Desulfitobacteriaceae. The record is from RNAcentral.
CCUAAACCAUUGAUUGAGAAUAGUAGCAUAGUUGCACGUUGUCUUCAGAGAACCGCUGGGGGUGGAAUAGCGGUGGCGAUGUUUAUGUGAAUGGCCUCAAGAGGGUGAUGCAGAAAUUUAGUUCAAGAGUAUGCUAACCGGGAUCUUCGCCCGUUAUCAAGGAAGCGUGUAUGUUAGUACACGGGAUGAGAGGCGUUUUGUACGCAAUUUAGGUGGUACCGCAGAGAUUAAAGUCUUUGUCCUUAUU